This is a long non-coding RNA of Hordeum vulgare subsp. vulgare (domesticated barley), 4935 nucleotides long. RefSeq lists it as uncharacterized. The record is from RefSeq and is a predicted model, not a curated record. Lineage: Eukaryota; Viridiplantae; Streptophyta; Magnoliopsida; Poales; Poaceae. The transcript has 2 exons.
GUCUAGGAUCUACUCCAUAGAUGCGUCGCUUCUUCCCAUUGCCCAUCUUGCGCCUCGAGGCUAGCUACUCCGAGAUCCGCGUGUAUAGGGUUCAGCCGGUCAGAGAGCCAGCGAGGUUCACGUUGUUUCCCCCCAAUGUUUGUUGCGGUAGCGAGACGAGAUGCAUAGCGCCCCGCGCCGAAUCUGCUUCUUCCUAAUCAAAUUAGUCUGAUAUAUAUAUACUCCAGCGACGACCGAUUUCGUUCUAUGUCGUUCCAAUUCCUGAGAGCGCGGGGAUGCUGAGUGCUGCGUGGUGCUCGCUCACGGGACAUCUGAGGAGCCCGGUUCCUUUGUUUUGUUGGUCAAUGCUCGCUCGGUGCACUCUUCUUACUUCGGUGGCCUUCUCCGAGAUCCUUGUUCGGGUUUUCCGAACUGUUAAAUGCUGUUGGCAUUUGGUCGAAUCCGACACGACAGGCAAAUGCAUGCGGUGCUUCAGAUAUGACCCUGUUUGACAGCAUUUCUACUAGUAGUUUGAAUAGUGCAGUGUGCGGAAAUGCAAUUAAUCGCCUCCUUGCGGUGUGGGGAUGCUCUAGUGAUGACUUAUUUAUUUCACCUUGUAUGCCGUUCCAAUUCCUGAAAGUGCACGUCCAUGGGAUGCCGCACAUUGUGUGGAGCACAAGGGACAUCUGAGGAGUUUAAUUUGUUUUUAUUCUUGCUCAAUGCGUCCAGAACCCUUUUCUAUUCCAGUGUUCUUUGUUGAGUUGUCCGGUUGUCAAACUACUUUCAUGCUGCCGACAAGGGGCUAAAUUAGCAUGGGUUUACGCCUAGGGCUAAAUUAGCUUCAAUGGUGUAUUUUAGAGAUUUUUUGUACUUUGUAAGUAGGUAUUACAAAUACUAUUGUCACUACAUCUAGGGCUAUAGCCCCAUUUGCCAUAGGCUUGAUUCCGCCACUUCUGCCGAUGGUUGGUCUUGUAUGAUAUACCAUAAGUGAACAUGUCUACAACUUGAAAUGAUUCAUUUUCUAGAUUUCAGGUUUCAAAUGUUGCAAUGUAACAAAUUUGCUUCCUUAAGGCGUGGGAUGCUCCUGUGAUGACUUGUUUCGCCUCAUAUAUCGGUUCCAAUUCCUGAAAGCACAUCCACGAGAUGUUGCACGUUAUGUGGAGCAGAAGGGACAUCUGUGGAGUUAAAUGCUGGGAAAACUUUCAUUUAUUUAUUUCAGUGUUCUGCAUUCUGUUGUUCGAUUGCCAAACUAUUUUCAUGCUGCUGAACGUUGGUUGAAUUUGAUACCAUAUGUGAUCAUGUGCAUAUAACUUCAAAUGAUUCCUUUUAAGUUUCUGGUAUAAAAUGGUGCAGUGUAUCAAAUCUGCUUCCUGUAUGUGUGGGGAUACUCCAGUGAUGACUUACUUCACCUCAUAUAUCGUUCCAAUUCCUGAAAGCACAUCUACCGGAUGAUGCACAUUAUGUGGAGCAGAAGGGACACCUGAGGAGUUCAGUUUGCUUCUUCUAUUGCUUAAUGUUUGGAUAAAUCUUUCUAUUUUAAGUGUUGUUGUUGGAUAAUUUGUUUUCAUUUUAAUUUUUUCAUGCUGUUUGACACUUGGUUGAAACUGAUACCACAUGCAAACAUGUGUGGAGCAUCACAUAUGAUUAUUUUUUAUUGAGAUUUCUGGUUUGGCCUUCCGUUUCUUUUUGGGUGUUGUUGCAACUUUGUGUGGAACAUCGAAACAUCUUACGAGCAAUACGACUCGGCAAACCAAAUAAUGAGUUACAAAAACAAUAUAUAUUUUGAGACUGUUAGUCUGACUGGUUUACAAACUCUAGGCGUUGAAUCACAGAACUGACACUGUAUCUGCUAAUAUGAUUCUAUUUAUUUAUUUGCUCUUGUUCAGUGAAGUAGAAGGGGCAUCUGAGGAGUUUAAUCCAUUUUAUUCUUGCGCAGUUUGUGGAGAACCAUUUUUAUUUCACUGUUCUUCGCUGAAGCCUUGUUUGAUUCAGAAACUGUUUUCAUUUUCACUUUGCCCACAGCUACAGCUGGUUGGCUUUCAUACCGUAAGCGAACAUGUAUAACUUCAAAUGGUCCUUUUUUUCAAGAUUUCUGCUUUCAAAUGAUGCAAUAUAUCGACUUUGCUUAGUUAAGGUGUCAAACACUCCAGUGAUGACUUGUUUCGCCUUGUAUAUCGUUCCAAUUCCUGAAAACACAUCCAUGGGAUGCUGCACAUUUUGUGGAGCAAAAGGGACAUCUGAGGAGUUUCGUUUGUUUUUUUCUUGCUAAAUGUUUGAACAACUCUUUUUUAUUUCUGUGUUCUUCAUUGAGUCCGUUCGGUUUCCGAACUAUUUUCAUGCUGUCAUAAGUUGGUUGAAUUUGAUGCUAUAGGUGAAGGUGUAUAUAACUUCAAAUGGUUCCUUGAUUUAUGGUUUGAAAUGGUGCAAUGUACCAAAUCUGCUUCCUUAGGUGUGGGAUACUCCAGUGAUGACUUAUCUCACGUUGUAUAUCGUUCCAAUUCCUGAAAAAGCAUCCAUGGGAUGCUGCCCAUUUUGUGGAGCAAAAGGGACAUCUGAGGAGUUUAAUUUGUUUCUUUUCUCACUUAAUGUUUGGCCAACUCUUUUUGGUCCACUGUUCUUUAUUGAGUUGUUCGAUUUCCAAACUAUCACACUGCCGAUCAUUGGUUGAGUUUGAUAUCAUAGGAGAACAUGUGUAUAACUUCAAAUGGUUCCUUUUAAGAUUUCUGGUUUGACAUGGUGCGAUGUGUUAAGUCUGCUUCCUUAAGCUGUGGGAUACUCCAGUGAUGACUUAUUUCGCUUGUAUAUCGUUCCAGUUCCUGAAAGCACGUCCAUGGAUGCUGCACAUUUUGUGGAACAGAAGGGACAUCUGAGGAGUUCAAUUUGUUUAUUUUCUCGCUUACUGUUUGGAUAACUCUUUUCAUGUUACAUAUUGUUCUGGAGAAUUUGUUUGAUUUUGAUAUUUCUCAUGCUGUUUGACACUUGGUGAAUUUGAUAGAGACAUGCUACCUCAAAUUUUGGCUGCUCUUGGAACUUAGAUAGACAUCAGCGUUAUCUACCCCGGUACAAGUCGACAGAGCAAACGUUACCUGGUGUCAAUGGCUUGCUCCUACGGCCAGCAAACCUGCGAGGAUCUUCAAAUUUGAGUAUUUCUUUUUCAAGAUUUCUGGUUUGGUCUUUGGUGUAUUUUUGUAGCCUUUCCGAGUGAUACAACUUGGCGAGCCAAAUCAUUAGUUACAGAAACAAUAGAUAGUUUCAUAUUGUUAGUCUAACUGGUUUACAAACUCUAGGCGCUGAAUCACUUAAUUGAACUUGUAUCUGCUAAUCUGAUGAUAUUUACUUAUGUGUUUUGUUAGAUUAAGUAUUAGCAAGCAUUUGUUCACCAAUGGAGAAACCAACACUAGUUGCAAGUAUUGAUGAUCCAUUUGGUGGUCUUCAUCUGCUUUGCGCUUGACUACAAUCUCACAAGAAGCAUUUUUCUUGUGUGCAGAGUUAAUCACCCAGUUUCUCUUAAGCUCCUAAUCAAGGCAGGUGACUGAUUGAUUGCCUUGAUGCUUGAAUAACUGAGCAAUAUUCAACUGAUGGGGCCUCUCUUUUUUUUUUUGACCUACACUACAAGAGAAUGGGCUGAGAAAGUCAGGGAGGAGCUUGCUGACAGUGUUGGUCAUCGGAUGUUUUCCUCCGAAAGCAGCUCGGGUUAGGCACGAAAGCCAGGGUUGGAAGAUGGUUGCAACCAUGGGGUGAUGUGGGGCCGUGUCCAGGGUCUCGGCCACAACACAGCAGGGCUGUGAGCAGUCUCAGCCUGGCAUCAUGCAAACACAAACAGCUAACAUCCCAGUUCUCCACCUCGCAUGUGUUUCACCGCAUGAUUCUGCAGUCACAAGCUGCAACCCAGCAUAGUGAAUAGUGAGGGAUCCUGCUCACCCAUUUGCUGUAUUCAUCCCACCUCGCGUGCCCCUGUUUUCUGGGUUAACCACCGCUUUACUUUUAACACUGUCAAUCCUGUACAGAUGCACUCCCUUGCCUUAACUGUUUCGAGAAUCUGAUACUACACUACAUGAAAGCUUCACAUGUGAGUAAUUUUUGUCGAGAUUUGUGGUUUGGCCUUUCUUUUCUUUUCUGGGUGUUGCUGCAAACUUGUGUGGAACAUCCAAACAUUUUCCUAGUAUUACAGAAACAAUAGAUAUUUUGAUAUUGUUAGCCUUAACUGUUUUACAAACUCUAGGCAUUGAAUCACAGAGCUGAUGCUGGAUCUGCUAAUGUGAUGCUGUUUAUUUACUUGCUUAGUUCAUUCAAGUUUUAUCCAGCUUUUGUUCACCAUUGGAGAAACCAACACUGGUUGUAACUAUUUAUGGUCCACUGUAGUCUUCAUCUGCUCUGCACCUCACUAUAAUCUCAUAAGUCUUUUCUUCUCUGCAGAGUUAAUGACCCAGUUUCUCUUAAGCUCCUGAGCAAGGCAGGUGGUGGCCUUGAUGCUUGAAUAACCAAGCAAUAUUUGAAAGAUUGGUUUCCUUGCAUUGUGGGAUUGAGACCUUUAAAAUUGUUCUCCAUUUGUGUGACCCGCGCUACAAGAGAAGGUCUUGACAAAGCCAGGUUGGAACUUGUUGACAAAGUUUGUCAUCAAAUGUUAGCCUCCGAAGCUCGGGUCGGACACGAAGCCAGGGCUGGAAGAUGGUUGCGACCAUCAGGGGCGGAGCCAGUAUCUGGACAUGAGGGGGCGGAGCCAGGAUCUGGACAAUGUUCACAACAGUCGCGGGAUGUCAAUGAUAUGUUAAGUCCCGUGAUAGCGUUGAUGAUAAAUCUUCAAAAUACAUAUCUGGAACGAGAAAAGAAUGUAACAUUUCUGUUAACUUAAAUUUAGCCCUACAACCGCCCGUGUUACAAAAGUUCACUAUUUUCCUUACUGAUAUAGACAGUCAUAUAAUGUCGAAGAAAAUCGUCUUCAUUCUGUUUCAAAAA